UGCCGCCCGGGUGCAUAUCCUCCUUCCCA
Molecule: non-coding RNA, 29 nt
Filed under: Rattus norvegicus (Norway rat)
Lineage: Eukaryota; Metazoa; Chordata; Mammalia; Rodentia; Muridae
Source: RNAcentral